CCUCAAACCGAGGUCCACAGAGUACAAAAUUAUUGCCGACCUCCCAGACUCCAACAAAGGAGCUGGGGAUGAUUACUUCAUUACCUCGAGAAACUGAGAGUUCGAUCCAGACGAGGACCUCCACCCCUACCCUCUUCCUCGAACAAUUUUUGUAGAGGGUGAUGGUAAGAGCCCUGUGCUCAUAUUUACUUGUUUUUAAAGUCUUCAAUACUUUGUUUAUUCUAAUAUCUAUUUUUUCUUGCAGCUCUUCCAAAACCAGAAAAAGGCUUCUGAAAGUCUUUUUUCCCCAGCAAAGGUCUGAAGAAGCUACUGGACCUUCUAGCCCACAAGCGCAAAGCUCCCCUGCUACUCAACUUUAUCCCGACCUAUAAGUCGGUUCUUCCCAACGUUCCAAAGAAGAAGAAGAAGAGUCUGUCUCCUCUUUCCACCACAACUCCUCAAGCUGCCUCCACAUCUCGGCCAGAUCAAGGAUCGACUUUUGAUCCAGCAGAGUAGCCAUCAACUUCGGCUCCUUAUCUGAUCCCAAUAUCCCAACGUUAACGCCGGCGACGAACUGUUUUUGCUGCCGAGAUGGGCCGCCAGAAGGCAGUUGCUAAUGAUCUUUUGGCCAAUAUUCCUGACGAAGUUGGUGAUCAACCAGCACAAACCCAGCCUCAACCAAAGCCGAAAAAACGCCUGAAGAAGGCUCAGCCAAAGGCAACGGUAACUCAGAUUGACACUGAGGACACCUUGCCAAUCUCCAAAUUGGCUGAGAGUGAUAAGUCCAAUUCUGCUGCUGAAAAGAGGCCUGUCGAAACCCAACCAUCCGAGUCUGCUAGAUCCAAGAGGCCGAGGUCAUCAUCUGCAAUCACCUCGGGGUCUUUGAAGCAUGAUUCCCUCUGGGCCCCCGGAUCACAUUAAAGGACAGGCCAGUCAAAGCUGGUGAUAGCGCCGACGAUGUUAAUGUCGGCGUAGCCCUUAGUACCGCUCUGCUUCUUCCCGGCGAUCUCAACCGGAACGCCGAUAUGAGCGAGUAUGAAAAUUUUGCCCUGAUGCUCCAGCACUCUGUUCAAGCCAUCCAACAUACUCAUUCUUUCUCACUGCAAGCGUUUGAGAAUUGGAAGGAGCUGGCCGAUAAGAAGAGGGAGGCUGCUAGUCUACAGAAGACUAAUAAAAACUUGCAAU
Camellia sinensis is the source of this 1164-nucleotide non-coding RNA. NCBI's taxonomy places the organism in Eukaryota, Viridiplantae, Streptophyta, Magnoliopsida, Ericales, Theaceae. The record is from RefSeq and is a predicted model, not a curated record.